ACGGGAGCUUGCUCCUGGUGGCGAGUGGCGAACGGGUGAGUAAUACAUCGGAACGUACCCAGGAGUGGGGGAUAACGUAGCGAAAGUUACGCUAAUACCGCAUAUUCUGUGAGCAGGAAAGCGGGGGAUCGCAAGACCUCGCGCUCUUGGAGCGGCCGAUGUCGGAUUAGCUAGUUGGUGAGGUAAAAGCUCACCAAGGCGACGAUCCGUAGCAGGUCUGAGAGGAUGAUCUGCCACACUGGGACUGAGACACGGCCCAGACUCCUACGGGAGGCAGCAGUGGGGAAUUUUGGACAAUGGGGGGCAACCCUGAUCCAGCCAUGCCGCGUGAGUGAAGAAGGCCUUCGGGUUGUAAAGCUCUUUCGGCGGGGGAAGAAAUGGCAACGGCUAAUAUCCGUUGUUGAUGACGGUACCCCCCAUAAGAAGCCACCGGCUAACUACGUGCCAGCAGCCGCGGUAAUACGUAGGGGUGCGGAGGCGUUAAUCGGAAUUACUGGGGCGGUAAAGCGUGCGCAGGCGGUUUCGUAAAGAACAGAACGUGAAAAUCCCCGGGCUCAACCUGGGAAACUGCGUUUUGUGACUGCGAGGCUAGAGUAC
This 597-nucleotide ribosomal RNA is filed under the name uncultured Azospira sp. RNAcentral describes it as "bacterial SSU rRNA". It matches the Rfam family "Bacterial small subunit ribosomal RNA", at positions 72 to 649 of the family's 1533-position model. Lineage: Bacteria; Pseudomonadati; Pseudomonadota; Betaproteobacteria; Rhodocyclales; Rhodocyclaceae. The record is from RNAcentral.